RNAcentral lists this ribosomal RNA (440 nucleotides) under uncultured bacterium. RNAcentral describes it as "partial 16S ribosomal RNA". It matches the Rfam family "Bacterial small subunit ribosomal RNA", at positions 338 to 795 of the family's 1533-position model. The record is from RNAcentral.
CCUACUGGAGACAGCAGUGGGGAAUAUUGCACCAUGUGGGAAACCCUGAAGCCUCCCCUCCUCUUUCCUUCUUCCUUCUCUCUUUUUUUCCCCCUCUUUUGUUCGUUGAGAAAAUGACGGUACCUGACGAAUAUGCUCCGGAUAACUUCGUUCCAGCAGCCGCGGUAAUACGGAGGGUGCAAGCGUUAUCCGGAUUUACUGGGCGUAAAGCGCGCGUAGGCGGGUUAUAAAGUCAGGUGUGAAAUCCUGGGGCUCAACCGUAGAACUGCAUUUGAAACUGUGAGUCUGGAGUACAGGAGGGGUAGGCGGAAUUCGUGGUGUAGCGGUGAAAUGCGUAGAUAUCACGAGGAACACCGAUUGCGAAGGCGGCUUACUGGAAUGGAACUGACGCUGAGGCUCGAAAGUGUGGGGAGCAAACAGGAUUAGAUACCCUAGUAGUC